GGUCCCGUACCUAAGCGGGACAGAGCAUCAGAUUCCUGACCUGUCGUGCGUUCGAGUCGCGCCGGGAUCACCA
This 73-nucleotide transfer RNA is filed under the name Rhizobium ruizarguesonis. Its description in RNAcentral is "tRNA-Arg". Lineage: Bacteria; Pseudomonadati; Pseudomonadota; Alphaproteobacteria; Hyphomicrobiales; Rhizobiaceae. The record is from RNAcentral.